AGAUUGAACGCUGGCGGCAUGCCUUACACAUGCAAGUCGAGCGGCAGCGCGGGGGGCAACCCUGGCGGCGAGCGGCGAACGGGUGAGUAAUACAUCGGAACGUGUCCAGUAGUGGGGGAUAACCAGUCGAAAGAUUGGCUAAUACCGCAUACGAUCUACGGAUGAAAGCGGGGGACCGCAAGGCCUCGCGCUAUUGGAGCGGCCGAUGUCGGAUUAGCUAGUUGGCGGGGUAAAAGCCCACCAAGGCAACGAUCCGUAGCUGGUCUGUGAGGACGAUCAGCCACACUGGAACUGAGACACGGUCCAGACUCCUACGGGAGGCAGCAGUGGGAAUUUGGACAACGGGGGCAACCCUGAUCCAGCCAUGCCGCGUGAGUGAAGAAGGCCUUCGGGUUGUAAGUCGUCGUUCGGCGGGACGAAACGGUCCGUGACAACGACCAACGGACUAA
Molecule: ribosomal RNA, 449 nt
Filed under: uncultured soil bacterium
Lineage: Bacteria
Description: bacterial SSU rRNA
Rfam family: Bacterial small subunit ribosomal RNA
Source: RNAcentral